GACGUAGGGCGCGAGCGUUGUCCGGAUUUAUUGGGCGUAAAGAGCUCGUAGGCGGCUCAUCGCGUCAACUGUGAAAACCCGCAGCUCAACUGUUGGCUUGCGGUUGAUACGGGUGGGCUGGAGUUCGGUAGGGGAGACUGGAAUUCCUGGUGUAGCGGUGAAAUGCGCAGAUAUCAGGAGGAACACCGGUGGCGAAGGCGGGUCUCUGGGCCGAUACUGACGCUGAGGAGCGAAAGCGUGGGGAGCGAACAGG
RNAcentral lists this ribosomal RNA (253 nucleotides) under uncultured bacterium. RNAcentral's name for it is "partial 16S ribosomal RNA". It matches the Rfam family "Bacterial small subunit ribosomal RNA", at positions 524 to 776 of the family's 1533-position model. The record is from RNAcentral.